CCUACGGGUGGCAGCAGUAGGGAAUCUUUCACAAUGGGCGAAAGCCUGAUGGAGCAACGCCGCGUGCAGGAUGAAGGCCUUCGGGUUGUAAACUGCUUUUAUAAGCGAGAAAUAUGAUGGUAACUUAUGAAUAAGGAUCGGCUAACUACGUGCCAGCAGCCGCGGUCAUACGUAGGAUCCGAGCAUUAUCCGGAGUGACUGGGUGUAAAGAGUUGCGUAGGUGGCAUAAUAAGUAGCUAGUGAAAUCUGGUGGCUCAACCAUUCAGACUAUUAGCUAAACUGUUAAGCUCGAGACCGUUAGGGGUAACGGGAAUGUGUAGUGUAGGAGUGAAAUCCGUAGAUAUCAGAAGGAACACCGAUAGCGUAGGCAGGUUGCUGGGACGGUUCUGACGCUAAGGCACGAAAGCGUAGGGAGCAAACGGGAUUAGAUACCCGUGUAGUC
Molecule: ribosomal RNA, 442 nt
Filed under: uncultured bacterium
Lineage: Bacteria
Description: partial 16S ribosomal RNA
Rfam family: Bacterial small subunit ribosomal RNA
Source: RNAcentral